UAUUAGAGUAAAUUUAAUUUAAUUUUAGAAAUAUUCCAUUUUUUGAAAAAAAAUAGAAUUUUACAUUGAAAUGAUCUAAAAGACUCCACUUUUGUGAAUUUUUUGAAGACGAUGAAAUAUGUUUUAUUUUCCAUAGGUACAUAAUAAUAUAUUUUAAGGAAAUAUUGAAUAAAUGAUAGGAACUAGGGAGGAAGAAUAUUUAGAAAGAUGAGCCAUAUUAAUUUCGAAAUUCAAAUGUAUACUACUGGCAGUGACAUAACCCCACCAACAUGCCUUGCUUUUUCUCUUACAAACCUCAUAAAUACUAAAUUGAAUGCUCAUGGGAAAAUCGUUUAUUUCGUCGGCUACAAAUGAAUUAGUUAACUUCAUGCCAUGGACUUCAUUAAUAGUAGUAUUUGGAAAACCAAUUAAGGGUCCGAUUGGGGUUUGAACUUGAGUCUGUUGAGACUUUAACUUAAAUCUAAAAUCUUUAACGUCAAAUUAUUACCAAUCAAACUUUAGAGCUUCUUUUAAAAUUCUUAAAAGCUAAAAUAACUGCAUUUGCUCUUUCCGUGGUCUUUUUUUCUUCUUAAAACCACUAUUUUAUGGUUUUUAAUAUUUCUAAGUCACAUUAAUUAUUUACCAGUCACAGUUUAAAGUUUUAACAGUCAAAAUUAAUUUGAAAGCUUCAACAGCAACAGUUUUGAUUCAUUUUUUAUGAUAAAAUACUAACAGUGCAUCUUUUAUGUUUUUUUUUGUCACUGACGCUGUAUGAUUUUUUUCAUCUUUUGUGUUUAAAUACUAACAAUAACAUUGAUUUGGUUAGAAGAGUUUGAUUUGGUUAGGCCACUCCGCCAACAAACUCUUGUUCUUGACAAUCAUAUGAGAUUAUUUUCAUUAAUUUAUAUCAUCGCUUGGAAAGUAUAUAUACUAUAAAAAUAUUUAAAAUUUAAUCAGAACACAUAUAAAUACUCUUUUCAAAAAAGUUUCCUAUAUAAACAAAUUUUUUUUGGAGCAAUUCCUAUAGAAACAAUUCAAAUUUAAUAAACCAACCUCCUUUUUGGUAUGGGGUUGUUGGUCUAAUUUAAUGCUAGUGACUCUCUUCUUCAACCAUCUUCAUAUUUAGAUCUUGUUCUUCACUUUGCAGUCUCAUAGACUUUGCAAAUAGCCACCUUCUUUUCUCUCCUCUGAUUCUUCUACUUAGUUCUUUUAUUUUGGACGUUGCUAAAAAUAAGAGUUCUGCGCGGAUCCGAUGAUCUUCACCGAGUGAUAGAGCUCAAGGUACUCAAGUGCAGGACGAUUCCAUGACCAGUCUUGCUUCAUCAGUGAUUUAAACCACUCUCUAUACUUAAAGCAAUGCUCCAAUCAACGAUAGUACAAUUAUCCUUACACCUGUUGAGUACUAAUUACUGAAACGCUAAUACUGUAGGCUUUGUAGCACACCAAACUUGUAGACAUGCAUGGAGUCAUAUAGAAUAUAUUCGAAGAAUAUACUUUUGUUUGUGUGUUUAGCAUAGUUUUAAGAUGUUGGGUCUAAGUCCAAUUUGGGCCCCAUGAUAUCAGUAUAUUCACAUUUCAACUCACCUCUAUAAACAAUUGAUGUCUUCUAUUUAUUCUCUAUCGUUACCCAUUGGGUAUAGUGAAAUCAAAUGACCUGGCUAAACAGUGGCCUCACAUUUCCUUUAAUAUCCAAAUUUUUGGGUAUAGAAGGCAAAGGAAAUUCUGUUUAACUAGAAGCCUUGUGCGUGGAUCAUGAUUUUUUGGAAGGAAAUGGGAGGUGUAGACUUGUUUGUGGAAGAGUCUUAUUGUAGGUCUUUUGUUUGUACCUUAACUGGAUGAUUGAUCUUUUAUGAUCUUGGAAUGAAAUUCAUAGAUGACAAAAAAAAAAAAAAUCAAAUGGAUUCUUCAAGGUAAUUCCCAAGUUAGUCUCGUUCACACCGUAUCUCAAGUUAUUUUGAUAGGUUAUCCACUAUUCUAAUACUUCAGUUCAAAGAUGUUUAAUUUUCAAGUUUUUUUCUAUACAAAAAAUUAAACAGAUUGGUGUUAUUUGAUGACAUAAAUAGUCAAUUGAAUUGUUUUAAUCUUUUUCGUAUGCAUCACGAUAUUCCAGAAGUAGAAAUGUUACGGAUAUGCUUCAUUUUCAUUGUCGAUAUUGUAGUUGGAGUUGUUAUUUCUUUUAGAUUAAUAUUGGAUAAACUAUGUUGGGAUAUAAUUAAUAAUAUGCAAGUUACGUGUUA
Molecule: long non-coding RNA, 2216 nt
Organism: Brassica rapa (field mustard)
Lineage: Eukaryota; Viridiplantae; Streptophyta; Magnoliopsida; Brassicales; Brassicaceae
Source: RefSeq, a predicted model, not a curated record